AUCCGAGUGCUGGAAUUGGUAGACAGUCUUAGCUUAAGUUUAAGUGACGUAAGUCGUAAACGUUCGAAUCGUUUCUUGGAUA
Molecule: transfer RNA, 82 nt
Filed under: Aspergillus leporis
Lineage: Eukaryota; Fungi; Ascomycota; Eurotiomycetes; Eurotiales; Aspergillaceae
Description: tRNA-Leu
Source: RNAcentral